This 2905-nucleotide ribosomal RNA is filed under the name Enterobacter asburiae. RNAcentral's name for it is "23S ribosomal RNA". It matches the Rfam family "Bacterial large subunit ribosomal RNA". Lineage: Bacteria; Pseudomonadati; Pseudomonadota; Gammaproteobacteria; Enterobacterales; Enterobacteriaceae. The record is from RNAcentral.
GGUUAAGCGACUAAGCGUACACGGUGGAUGCCCUGGCAGUCAGAGGCGAUGAAGGACGUGCUAAUCUGCGAAAAGCGCCGGCGAGGUGAUAUGAACCUUUGACCCGGCGAUGUCCGAAUGGGGAAACCCAGUGCAAUUCGUUGCACUAUCGUUAAUUGAAUACAUAGGUUAACGAGGCGAACCGGGGGAACUGAAACAUCUAAGUACCCCGAGGAAAAGAAAUCAACCGAGAUUCCCCCAGUAGCGGCGAGCGAACGGGGAGCAGCCCAGAGUCUGAAUCAGCUUGUGUGUUAGUGGAAGCGUCUGGAAAGUCGCACGGUACAGGGUGACAGUCCCGUACACGAAAGCACACAGGCUGUGAACUCGAAGAGUAGGGCGGGACACGUGGUAUCCUGUCUGAAUAUGGGGGGACCAUCCUCCAAGGCUAAAUACUCCUGACUGACCGAUAGUGAACCAGUACCGUGAGGGAAAGGCGAAAAGAACCCCGGCGAGGGGAGUGAAAAAGAACCUGAAACCGUGUACGUACAAGCAGUGGGAGCACCUUCGUGGUGUGACUGCGUACCUUUUGUAUAAUGGGUCAGCGACUUAUAUUCUGUAGCAAGGUUAACCGUAUAGGGGAGCCGAAGGGAAACCGAGUCUUAACUGGGCGUUAAGUUGCAGGGUAUAGACCCGAAACCCGGUGAUCUAGCCAUGGGCAGGUUGAAGGUUGGGUAACACUAACUGGAGGACCGAACCGACUAAUGUUGAAAAAUUAGCGGAUGACUUGUGGCUGGGGGUGAAAGGCCAAUCAAACCGGGAGAUAGCUGGUUCUCCCCGAAAGCUAUUUAGGUAGCGCCUCGUGAACUCAUCUUCGGGGGUAGAGCACUGUUUCGGCUAGGGGGCCAUCCCGGCUUACCAACCCGAUGCAAACUACGAAUACCGAAGAAUGUUAUCACGGGAGACACACGGCGGGUGCUAACGUCCGUCGUGAAGAGGGAAACAACCCAGACCGCCAGCUAAGGUCCCAAAGUCAUGGUUAAGUGGGAAACGAUGUGGGAAGGCACAGACAGCCAGGAUGUUGGCUUAGAAGCAGCCAUCAUUUAAAGAAAGCGUAAUAGCUCACUGGUCGAGUCGGCCUGCGCGGAAGAUGUAACGGGGCUAAACCAUGCACCGAAGCUGCGGCAGCGACGCUUAUGCGUUGUUGGGUAGGGGAGCGUUCUGUAAGCCGUUGAAGGUGUGCUGUGAGGCAUGCUGGAGGUAUCAGAAGUGCGAAUGCUGACAUAAGUAACGAUAAAGCGGGUGAAAAGCCCGCUCGCCGGAAGACCAAGGGUUCCUGUCCAACGUUAAUCGGGGCAGGGUGAGUCGACCCCUAAGGCGAGGCCGAAAGGCGUAGUCGAUGGGAAACAGGUUAAUAUUCCUGUACUUGGUGUUACUGCGAAGGGGGGACGGAGAAGGCUAUGUUAGCCGGGCGACGGUUGUCCCGGUUUAAGCAUGUAGGCGGAGGUUCCAGGUAAAUCCGGUACCUUUUAACGCUGAGGUGUGAUGACGAGGCACUACGGUGCUGAAGUAACAAAUGCCCUGCUUCCAGGAAAAGCCUCUAAGCAUCAGGUAACAUCAAAUCGUACCCCAAACCGACACAGGUGGUCAGGUAGAGAAUACCAAGGCGCUUGAGAGAACUCGGGUGAAGGAACUAGGCAAAAUGGUGCCGUAACUUCGGGAGAAGGCACGCUGAUAUGUAGGUGAAGCCCCUGCGGGUGGAGCUGAAAUCAGUCGAAGAUACCAGCUGGCUGCAACUGUUUAUUAAAAACACAGCACUGUGCAAACACGAAAGUGGACGUAUACGGUGUGACGCCUGCCCGGUGCCGGAAGGUUAAUUGAUGGGGUUAGCGGCAACGCGAAGCUCUUGAUCGAAGCCCCGGUAAACGGCGGCCGUAACUAUAACGGUCCUAAGGUAGCGAAAUUCCUUGUCGGGUAAGUUCCGACCUGCACGAAUGGCGUAAUGAUGGCCAGGCUGUCUCCACCCGAGACUCAGUGAAAUUGAACUCGCUGUGAAGAUGCAGUGUACCCGCGGCAAGACGGAAAGACCCCGUGAACCUUUACUAUAGCUUGACACUGAACACUGGUCCUUGAUGUGUAGGAUAGGUGGGAGGCUUUGAAGCGUGGACGCCAGUCUGCGUGGAGCCAACCUUGAAAUACCACCCUUUAAUGGCUGGUGUUCUAACGUAGACCCGUAAUCCGGGUUGCGGACAGUGUCUGGUGGGUAGUUUGACUGGGGCGGUCUCCUCCCAAAGAGUAACGGAGGAGCACGAAGGUUAGCUAAUCCUGGUCGGACAUCAGGAGGUUAGUGCAAUGGCAUAAGCUAGCUUGACUGCGAGAGUGACGGCUCGAGCAGGUGCGAAAGCAGGUCAUAGUGAUCCGGUGGUUCUGAAUGGAAGGGCCAUCGCUCAACGGAUAAAAGGUACUCCGGGGAUAACAGGCUGAUACCGCCCAAGAGUUCAUAUCGACGGCGGUGUUUGGCACCUCGAUGUCGGCUCAUCACAUCCUGGGGCUGAAGUAGGUCCCAAGGGUAUGGCUGUUCGCCAUUUAAAGUGGUACGCGAGCUGGGUUUAGAACGUCGUGAGACAGUUCGGUCCCUAUCUGCCGUGGGCGCUGGAGAAUUGAGGGGGGCUGCUCCUAGUACGAGAGGACCGGAGUGGACGCAUCACUGGUGUUCGGGUUGUCAUGCCAAUGGCACUGCCCGGUAGCUAAAUGCGGAAAAGAUAAGUGCUGAAAGCAUCUAAGCACGAAACUUGCCCCGAGAUGAGUUCUCCCUGACCCUUUAAGGGUCCUGAAGGAACGUUGAAGACUACGACGUUGAUAGGUCGGGUGUGUAAGCGCAGCGAUGCGUUGAGCUAACCGAUACUAAUGAACCGUGAGGCUUAACCUU